CCGCUUGCAGGGAAACAGAUGGACCCACGAAGUCCAGUUGGGUAUGAGAUUCAUAUUUUUAAAUUGGUCCUAUUAGAUGUAACUCCUUCUCUGAAGGAAGCAUUUAUGUUUGACCAUUUUGAAGAUGCAUUUCUCAUAUCCACGAUGGAGCUCUGACUUCUUGUGAAGGCUUGAUCGUUUGUAGCAGCUCUUUAUUGUGGUAUGUUUUUUCGGAAUCAUUUCACUUUAGAGAGUAAGCGUUCAAGCUGCAGUGAGAAGGUGAAUUUCCUACAUUUGUAGGUUUGUCAGGUUGUCGACUGACACUGUGUGCAGAGCAUGAUUGAGAGAUGAAUUUCGGCUCUUGUAGUUGAAACCGUUUUUCACAUUGUGUUCAUAUGUACGCAGUUGAAGUCAAUGAUAAUCCAGAGUAAGUAGGUCGGUCAUCCAUCUGACCCGUCUUGAAACACGGACCAAGGAGCCCAACAUUUGCGCGAGUCGCUCGGUCUUGAAUAGGCCUGAGAGGCGAAAUAAACAUAAUGGUAUGAUCCUUUGACAUCCUUCGGGAUUAAGAGGCGCAAUACCAACCUGCUUUACUUGCUUUUUGCAAUGAAGUGGCGUUCGAGCGUAAAUGUUGGUACCCGAAAGAUGGUGAACUAUACUUGGGCAAGACGAAGCCAGAGGAAACUCUGGUGGAGGUCUGUAGCGAUUCUGACGUGCAAAUCGAUCGUCAGACCUGAGUAUAGGGGCGAAAGACUAAUCGAACCAUCUAGUAGCUGGUUCCCUCCGAAGUUUCCCUCAGGAUAGCUGGCACUACAACUCUGUAGCAUCCGGUAAAGCGAAUGAUUAGAGGUAUUGGGAUCGAAACGAUCUCAACCUAUUCUCAAACUUUAAAUGGGUGCGAGGCAUGACUUUUUUGAUUUAAAGUCUUGCUUUGUAAGAGUAGUGCCAAGUGGGCCAUUUUUGGUAAGCAGAACUGGCGCUGUGGGAUGAACCAAACGUAGAGUUAAGGCACCAAAUGCCGACGCUCAUGAGACCCCAUGAAAGGUGUUGGUUGCUCUAGACAGC
Molecule: ribosomal RNA, 1044 nt
Filed under: Ljania cf. bipapillata B LB-2019
Lineage: Eukaryota; Metazoa; Arthropoda; Arachnida; Trombidiformes; Aturidae
Description: partial large subunit ribosomal RNA
Rfam family: Eukaryotic large subunit ribosomal RNA
Source: RNAcentral